Melitaea cinxia (Glanville fritillary) is the source of this 397-nucleotide long non-coding RNA. RefSeq lists it as uncharacterized. The record is from RefSeq and is a predicted model, not a curated record. The transcript is spliced from 3 exons. Lineage: Eukaryota; Metazoa; Arthropoda; Insecta; Lepidoptera; Nymphalidae.
CGUGUGCGCCGCGCCGGCGACGGACGUCGUCACAGACUUUUUUCUUUUCGAUAUAUUUUAAUAAACAAACGCUUUUAUAUUUUUAUUUAUCAAUAAAAGUGACAUUCAAAGAUUCGAGUGACAGUGGAUAAUUGGAUGUUGGUUAAGAAAUUUUAGUGUAAUUAUGUUUAUUAAAAUAAUUUGACAAGUGCGUAUGUGUUUUGUGUUGUAUUUAUUAUUAUGCAAAUGGAUUGCUGGCACAAUAUAGUUUGACACCAGAUGACCUGACAACUUAUCAGUCAUAUGCAGCUGUAAACUUUAAAUAAGAUAAAAAGGCAAGAACGUGAAGUCAACAAGAAAAUUCUAUAAUCAAUAAUGUGCGAAAAAAUCGAUUGCAACAAUAUAAUGACGAUGAAAA